This 497-nucleotide ribosomal RNA is filed under the name uncultured bacterium. Its description in RNAcentral is "partial 16S ribosomal RNA". It matches the Rfam family "Bacterial small subunit ribosomal RNA", at positions 28 to 507 of the family's 1533-position model. The record is from RNAcentral.
GAUGAACGCUGGCGGCGUGCCUAAUACAUGCCAGUCGAGCGAACAGACGAGGAGCUUGCUCCUCUGACGUUAGCGGCGGACGGGUGAGUAACACGUGGAUAACCUACCUAUAAGACUGGGAUAACUUCGUGAAACCGGAGCUAAUACCGGAUAAUAUAUUGCACCGCAUGGUUCAAUAGUGAAAGACGGUUUUGCUGUCACUUAUAGAUGGAUCCGCGCCGCAUUAGCUAGUUGGUAAGGUAACGGCUUACCAAGGCAACGAUGCGUAGCCGACCUGAGAGGGUGAUCGGCCACACUGGAACUGAGACACGGUCCAGACUCCUACGGGAGGCAGCAGUAGGGAAUCUUCCGCAAUGGGCGAAAGCCUGACGGAGCAACGCCGCGUGAGUGAUGAAGGUCUUCGGAUCGUAAAACUCUGUUAUUAGGGAAGAACAAAUGUGUAAGUAACUAUGCACGUCUUGACGGUACCUAAUCAGAAAGCCACGGCUAACUACGUG